This 504-nucleotide ribosomal RNA is filed under the name Simulium decimatum. RNAcentral describes it as "partial 12S ribosomal RNA". The record is from RNAcentral. Lineage: Eukaryota; Metazoa; Arthropoda; Insecta; Diptera; Simuliidae.
AUNAGNAAUAGNUAGUUUGUUUUUGUUUUAAAAUUAAUUUAAAUUUUUUAAGUGAAAUUUUAAAUUUAUCUAAUUUUAUAAUAAAAAGUUAAUGAAGCUAGAAAAUUUUAAUAAUAAACUAGGAUUAGAUACCCUAUUAUUUAAAAAGUAAAAAUAAAUACUUGAGUAGUAAUAGAUAUGAUCUUCAAACUUAAAGAAUUUGGCGGUGUUUUAGUCUAUUUAGAGGAACCUGUCCUGUAAUCGAUAAUCCACGUUGGACCUUACUAAAAUUUGUUUUCAAUUUGUAUAUCGCCGUUAUCAGAAUAUCUUAAAAGAGGAAUAAUUUUCUUAAUUUAUAAUUAUAAUUGAUGUCAGGUCAAGGUGCAGUUUAUAUUUUAGUAGAGAUGGGUUACAAUAAACUUAUUUAAACGUUAAAUUGUUUGCAAUAAUGAUUUUAAGGUGGAUUUAAAAGUAAAAUAAUGGAUAUAAUUUAUUUGAUUAUAGCUCUAAAACAUGCACACAUCG